GUCCAAGUGUCCGAAUGGCGAGAUGAAAAGUUUGAGCCUUCACAAUAAAAGUCUAGCUGAGCCAAAGUUCGGAUCGAGCGUCUUGCCUAUGGCUCCUCUAUGUUGUAAAUGGCCAGAGAUUGAACUACCCCAUAAGCUUACAAGGGCUAAUGAUGAAGCAGGGGUCCUCCUUUCUACAAAUAGAGGCACCAGAAAAUAAGGGAGCAUGACAAAUAUUGAAGCUUUUGGAUGCUUAACAUUUAUAUUGUCAUUUCCAUUCAUUAAUUGCUAUUGAGACUAUGCUUCCUGCCUUUCUUAAUGUUCUCUGUCAACCAACAUGUUGAGAAUGCCACAGCUUUUAAAACUUUUGAGUGUGG
RNAcentral lists this unclassified non-coding RNA (356 nucleotides) under Hevea brasiliensis (rubber tree). Lineage: Eukaryota; Viridiplantae; Streptophyta; Magnoliopsida; Malpighiales; Euphorbiaceae. The record is from RNAcentral.